GUGGAGAAGACGAGAGGUGAGGGGCGACGGGCAGAUCCUGUGGAGAAGACGGGCGCUCGGGUCGGGUCUGCCUCUUUCGAUGGGUCGCGCGGUGGCCUUUUAGGAGUAAUAACGGUUCGCCCUUGGGGGAGAAGCUUGGGAAACUGGUCCGGAGCAGUUUCUUCCCACAGCCCAAUUUGCACUACGAUUUGGAAGGGCUUCUAGGAAGAGCUGGGUAGAAGUUUUGCCUUCUUUUGGGCUUCGGCUGCCUGGGACCUGGAAGCUGGGCUAGAAGCCCAAAAGAAGGGGGGCGUAUCCGGCCGGUGAAAACUCCGUAAAAACUAUUAUAAAAUGUUCCAAAAAUUUCUCAAAAUAAUUGCAUAUAUAUGUUAAGGAACUGAUGUUUUAUAUAUACGUACAAUUGUAAGUCCAAACUCAAUCCAGUCUAGCGGCAGUGAGAAAAAAAAAACAAAUUCAGCAUUAGCAGUUGUGCUUCACUGUUUGACAUUAUUCGCUGUAUAUUCCUCUUUUAAUUCUUUCUGGACGUAACUGAGUUUUGACUUGAAAUUUUCCAUGUUCAUAGAACAUCACAUCUCCAUUAUAUGAUCUUUUUCUAAAACCAUUAAAACUUCUAAACAUGUUUUUUAUAAAAUUUGCACAGAGUGCAUCAUAAAAUUAAAGUGGUUUUCACCUAAUAUUUUGCCUCUGAUUGUGAUGGGUCCAGAUUUAUGGGUGAUAGAAAAUCUGAUCAUUUCCUUUGUACAUACAACCCUUGAUAAGUUACUACAUGGAUGAAGACUAUAUUGACACUUAUCAAUUGAAAGUUAUUACAACUCGAUCGACUUGUCCUUAAGAAAAUAGCAACAAAAAAUUCACACCAAUUAUAUAUACAAUGUGCAUCUACAACUCAAUUUUACAAAAAAAAAACGCGGACUAAAAGUAAGAAAAUAAAAUCAACAAUUUAGUUUUCAUAAGGACUGUAUUGAAGUUCAAAAUUAGCUAAAUUUCAUAAGAAAAACUAAUGUACAAUUAAGAAUAAACAAUAAAAGGAAGUGGCAAUUUAGCUUGGACUAAAAAAAUGACUAAAUUAGUAGUUUGAUUUAUGCAUGAAAUUCAACCAUAAUAAGAGGUGGAAUAAAAAAAAUAAGCAAUUUGCUUUGAGUCAAUAACACACAAAGAUAUAGUGAAAGAUGACCAAUGUCAAUGUAACAUAAUGUAUUACAAAAUAUGUAGGUUUCUCGCAUGUAUAAACAUGCUUGGGUUCUUGCAAUUUGCUUUCGAGUCAACAACACAAACAUAUGUAGUGAAAGGUGUGAUCAUUUACCCGAGGCACCAGUAACCGAUAACGGUCCC
RNAcentral lists this long non-coding RNA (1332 nucleotides) under Brachypodium distachyon (stiff brome). RNAcentral's name for it is "long non-coding RNA (BDIS_LNC000641)". Lineage: Eukaryota; Viridiplantae; Streptophyta; Magnoliopsida; Poales; Poaceae. The record is from RNAcentral.